CCUGGAGCUGUUGCAUAAGAAAACCCAGGUAUCUCCUAAAAGAUUAAGUGGAGUAUGAAGACCAGACCUGCCUGGUCUGGAAGCAUUCCCUGAGGCGAGAGUAAAAGAGCCUUUACAUGCCCAGUACAAGGAAUGAUGGAGAAACCAAGGAUGAUUUGUGUAGGCCUCUGUUAGCCCCCCAGCUGAAGGAGAUUCAGCCAGAUACGGAAACAUGUCCCAUAUGUCGCACUCCUCCAGGUGCCAGCUACUGAAUAGAUGGACCGUAGUGAAGAAUCCCGGAUGAUAAUCAUGGAGGUUAGUGUCCCUUAAGUUGAGACAGCAAUGGUUUAUCACCAUUUUUCAAUUAGAGUGAUAGGGGUUUUUUACAUAUGUGAGAAGUAAGUAACACUAUACUGUCUUGUACGCUCUUGUUACUCCCUAGAUCUGUACAGUGAGUGCUGCUCUAAUUAAUGGAGGCUUGCGUAAUUAAUUACUGUGCAAAUACAUUAUAAUCAUGUUAUCACAUGCUGUGAAAUACACUUUUAAUGUAUAUGGAUAUUGUUUCAUAUUGGUACAAGACUUAGUUGGAUUAAAUGAUUGGUGAAAUGUAUUUAAGAUCAAGUGAGUUAUAAAAACAGGAAGUUACUGUUUUCUAAUCAGUAGAACUACUUUUGAAGUUGGGCAACUGCCUUUGUGUUUAAACUGUGCCCAAAGAAGCACGUUAUGUCAUGGUCAAGCAGAUAGCUGGUAUGAGGAAAGG
This 739-nucleotide long non-coding RNA is filed under the name Apteryx owenii (little spotted kiwi). RNAcentral's name for it is "lncRNA (ENSAOWG00000017463.1)". Lineage: Eukaryota; Metazoa; Chordata; Aves; Apterygiformes; Apterygidae. The record is from RNAcentral.